Molecule: transfer RNA, 65 nt
Filed under: Frisingicoccus caecimuris
Lineage: Bacteria; Bacillati; Bacillota; Clostridia; Lachnospirales; Lachnospiraceae
Also listed under: 2 other names
Rfam family: tRNA
About the family: Transfer RNA (tRNA) molecules are approximately 80 nucleotides in length. Their secondary structure includes four short double-helical elements and three loops (D, anti-codon, and T loops). Further hydrogen bonds mediate the characteristic L-shaped molecular structure. tRNAs have two regions of fundamental functional importance: the anti-codon, which is responsible for specific mRNA codon recognition, and the 3' end, to which the tRNAs corresponding amino acid is attached (by aminoacyl-tRNA synthetases). tRNAs cope with the degeneracy of the genetic code in two manners: having more than one tRNA (with a specific anti-codon) for a particular amino acid; and 'wobble' base-pairing, i.e. permitting non-standard base-pairing at the 3rd anti-codon position.
Source: RNAcentral
UCUGUAGCUCAGCUGGAUAGAGCAACGGCCUUCUAAGCCGUGGGUCGGGGGUUCGAAUCCCUUCA